GACAGAGGUGCCAAGCGUUAGGCGGAAUCACUGGGCUUAAAGCGUGUGUAGGCGGAUGCCUAAGUACCUUGUGAAAUCCCACGGCUCAACCGUGGAACUGCUUGGUAUACUGGGUGUCUUGAGCCAUCUAGGGGCUACCGGAACAAAUGGUGGAGCGGUGAAAUGCGUAGAUAUCAUUUGGAACGCCAAUGGUGAAAACAGGUAGCUGGGGAUGUGCUGACGCUGAGACACGAAAGCCAGGGGAGCAAACGGGG
This 254-nucleotide ribosomal RNA is filed under the name uncultured bacterium. RNAcentral's name for it is "partial 16S ribosomal RNA". It matches the Rfam family "Bacterial small subunit ribosomal RNA", at positions 524 to 777 of the family's 1533-position model. The record is from RNAcentral.